Molecule: ribosomal RNA, 588 nt
Filed under: uncultured bacterium
Lineage: Bacteria
Description: bacterial SSU rRNA
Rfam family: Bacterial small subunit ribosomal RNA
Source: RNAcentral
CCAGACUCCUACGGGAGGCAGCAGUGGGGAAUAUUGCACAAUGGGCGGAAGCCUGAUGCAGCAACGCCGCGUGCGGGAUGACGGCCUUCGGGUUGUAAACCGCUUUCGCCUGUGACGAAGCGUGAAUGGCGGUAAUGGGUAAAGAAGCACCGGCUAACUACGUGCCAGCAGCCGCGGUGAUACGUAGGGUGCGAGCGUUGUCCGGAUUUAUUGGGCGUAAAGGGCUCGUAGGUGGUUGAUCGCGUCGGAAGUGUAAUCUUGGGGCUUAACCCUGAGCGUGCUUUCGAUACGGGUUGACUUGAGGAAGGUAGGGGAGAAUGGAAUUCCUGGUGGAGCGGUGGAAUGCGCAGAUAUCAGGAGGAACACCAGUGGCGAAGGCGGUUCUCUGGGCCUUUCCUGACGCUGAGGAGCGAAAGCGUGGGGAGCGAACAGGCUUAGAUACCCUGGUAGUCCACGCUGUAAACGGUGGGUACUAGGUGUGGGGUCCAUUCCACGGGUUCCGUGCCGUAGCUAACGCUUUAAGUACCCCGCCUGGGGAGUACGGCCGCAAGGCUAAAACUCAAAGGAAUUGACGGGGGCCCGCACAAG